CAAAACAGUCUUGCAGCAGCAGCAGAAGUAGCAGCACGCUUCAGAAUCUGCCACCCACCCCCACCGUCGAACACACAGAAUCUGGAGAGGGGGGAGAAGGCAGGGGCUCCCUGUUAAAAGGGGAAACUAAGGGCCCGCGCGCGAGGGCAUGCACGGGAGAAGAGAGCAGGCCGCAAAGGAGACCCCGCCCGCGGAGCAAGCGAGGAAGCAGCGCGCACGGGCUUAGGCCGAGCGUGGAGGAGAGAGGGCGCUGCGUCCAGAGAUGGCCGCCCUCCUCCCGGUCACGUGACGCGGGCUACAAGGCAAGGCCGUGGGAGGGUCACGUGUCUGAGGAAAAGACGGUAGAGGAAACGGACGUUGCGCAGCCGCAGUCGUUGAUGCCGCGCGCCAGGAAGACGUGCGUCUGUACGUGUAGCCUCGAACGAACGCAUUUCCCCCUCAUAUCCAGUCCCCCCUCCCUUAGCGGCACGCUCGCCCAUCAUGUGACUUUCUUUCCUUCUCUUCCUCCCGCUGCCCGCCUCCCCCUCACCUCGAGCGCUGCAGGAAUGGGAGGGGGCAGAGAAAGGCUCGCGCGUCUGAGUGCCACGUGAUUAAAACGCUCCGCUUAUCGCUGACGCCUCUCGGGGGCCGGCACGACCCUUAUCAUGUGACCGGCGUCACGGCAGUCCCGAAGUUUUGUCCCCCCGCCUGCAACCUGGAUUGCGUCGAUGACGUCAUGCAGUUCGUUUAAACGCUAUCACGCUUAAAAUGACGCCAGCCAAAGAAAAAAAGACCGAAGGGCGAGAGUAUCAAGGGGGCGGGGCUUGUUAGCUUGAAAGUCACGUGUGCCUGUGGCGCCGUCUUCGCCUUGGCCUUGUGGGUCACCCUGAGGAGAGUCCUUGAAGGGCGGGAUGGAAAUGGCCCGUCGAAGCAAAUAACUCAUAGCAUGAGGAUGCUCCAAAGGCCACAGUGGGGACCCAGCCCGAAAAGGUCGCGAGAAACGUGGCAGACUUUCGAUUUCUCCAAAAGUGCUAGGCUUCUUCGUCAGGCAAAGCUGAUAGGAGUGUGCCUGACGGGGAAGGAAUAAGACGACACCUCCUCACAUUAAAAGGACAAAAUGUGCUGUGAUACCAGUUCAUCCUUCUGGGAUGAAGAAGUGAUGGCUGCUGCUCCCCAUUGGCCACCGAGAAAGGAGAAAGAAAGAAAAGCCUGGCUCCUACCACCCCUGCCUUGUGAAACUAACAUCUUGCCGGAUGAAGAGUUCUAGAGAACCUGAAAGCUUUCAAGGUUUUGGGGCCUUCUUUGGUUUGUCCUCCUAAUAAAGGCAUUACCAUGGACCAACACAGUUACGCUUGCAUAUGUUGAUAUGAUUAUGAUCUGCCAGGACCAUAUUUUUUAUACCCCCUUCCUCAGGACAGGGUAGCAUAGCAUAUGGAUAGUUCUCUUCCCCCAUCCCAUUUGAUCCUCACAACAACCCUAUGAGGUAGGUUAGGCAAACCAAUAGUGAUGGGCCUAAGGUCAACUCAGUGAGCUUUAUGGCUGAAUUGAGAAUUCACACCUAAGUCUCUGCAGUCCACAUCUAAUGUUUUAACCACUACACCACACCACCAUGAGAUGCUUAUGUGGUGGUGGGUAACCCAGAUUCCAGUGCUAUUAAGCUCACUCAGUGGUCUUUGGGCUUGGCACUCCUGCCCUCACUCCUUGACGAACCUCACGGGAUUGUUGUAAGACUGUAAUGCUCCACUGACCUCCGUUGAAGAUGGAACCCCAGAUUAAAAAUAUUAAAUAAAUCAAUAACUUUUGCUAUUGUUUUUAUUCCUUUUUUUUUAGUUAGUUGCUAAC
Long non-coding RNA from Rhineura floridana, 1821 nucleotides. RefSeq lists it as uncharacterized. The transcript has 3 exons. NCBI's taxonomy places the organism in Eukaryota, Metazoa, Chordata, Lepidosauria, Squamata, Rhineuridae. The record is from RefSeq and is a predicted model, not a curated record.